This 686-nucleotide ribosomal RNA is filed under the name uncultured bacterium. RNAcentral describes it as "bacterial SSU rRNA". It matches the Rfam family "Bacterial small subunit ribosomal RNA", at positions 824 to 1500 of the family's 1533-position model. The record is from RNAcentral.
UGGGUGCCCUUGGGCACUUAGUAGGGAAGCUAACGCGUUAAGUCUUCCGCCUGGGGAGUACGNCCGCCAAGGUUAAAANUCAAAGGAAUUGACGGGGGCCCGCACAAGCGGUGGAACAUGUGGUUUAAUUCGACGCAACGNCGAAGAACCUUACCUACCCUUGACAUGCUCGGAAUCUGCCAGAGAUGGUGGAGUGCCUUCGGGAGCCCGAGACACAGGUGCUGCAUGGCUGUCGUCAGCUCGUGUCGUGAGAUGUUGGGUUAAGUCCCGUAACGAGCGCAACCCCUAUUCUUAGUUGCCAACAGGUAAAGCCUGGGAACUCUAAGGAGACUGCCGGUGACAAGACCGGAGGAAGGUGGGGAUGACGUCAAGUCCUCAUGGCCCUUACGGGUAGGGCAACACACGUGUUACAAUGGUCAGUACAGAGGGAAGCGAAGUCGCGAGAUGGAGCGAAUCCUUUAAAAGCUGAUCGUAGUCCGGAUUGGAGUCUGCAACUCGACUCCAUGAAGUUGGAAUCGCUAGUAAUCGCGGAUCAGAACGCCGCGGUGAAUACGUUCCCGGGCCUUGUACACACCGCCCGUCACAGCAUGGGAGUGGGUUGCACCAGAAGUAGAUAGGCUAACCGCCAAGGGGGUCGUUUACCACGGUGUGAUUCAUGACUGGGCUGAAGUCGUAANCAAGGUACC